AGUGAACGCUGGCGGUAGGCCUAACACAUGCAAGUCGAACGGCAGCACAGUAAGAGCUUGCUCUUACGGGUGGCGAGUGGCGGACGGGUGAGGAAUACAUCGGAAUCUACUUUUUCGUGGGGGAUAACGUAGGGAAACUUACGCUAAUACCGAAUACGACCUACGGGAGAAAGCAGGGGAGCUUCGGACCUUGCGCGAUUGAAUGAGCCGAUGUCGGAUUAGCUAGUUGGCGGGGUAAAGGCCCACCAAGGCGACGAUCCGUAGCUGGUCUGAGAGGAUGAUCAGCCACACUGGAACUGAGACACGGUCCAGACUCCUACGGGAGGCAGCAGUGGGGAAUAUUGGACAAUGGGCGCAAGCCUGAUCCAGCCAUGCCGCGUGGGUGAAGAAGGCCUUCGGGUUGUAAAGCCCUUUUGUUGGGAAAGAAAAGCAGCAGGUUAAUACCCCGCUGUUCUGACGGUACCCAAAGAAUAAGCACCGGCUAACUUCGUG
Molecule: ribosomal RNA, 492 nt
Filed under: uncultured bacterium
Lineage: Bacteria
Description: partial 16S ribosomal RNA
Rfam family: Bacterial small subunit ribosomal RNA
Source: RNAcentral